CCGGCUAACUACGUGCCAGCAGCCGCGGUAAUACGUAGGGUGCGAGCGUUAAUCGGAAUUACUGGGCGUAAAGCGUGCGCAGGCGGUUCUCCAAGUCCGUUGUGAAAUCCCCGGGCUCAACCUGGGAAUGGCAGUGGAAACUAGGGGACUUGAAUCUGGCAGAGGGGGGUGGAAUGCCACGUGUAGCAGUGAAAUGCGUAGAGAUGUGGCGGAACACCGAUGGCGAAGGCAGCCCCCUGGGCUAAGAUUGACGCUCAGGCACGAAAGCGUGGGGAGCAAACAGGAUUAGAUACCCUGGUAGUCCACGCCCUAAACGAUGUCAACUAGGUGUUGGGGAAGCGAUUUCCUAGUACCGCAGCUAACGCGUGAAGUUGACCGCCUGGGGAGUACGGUCGCAAGAUUAAAACUCAAAGGAAUUGACGGGGACCCGCACAAGCGGUGGAUGAUGUGGAUUAAUUCGAUGCAACGCGAAAAACCUUACCUACCCUUGACAUGUACGGAACCCUGCCGAGAGGUGGGGGUGCUCGAAAGAGAGCCGUAACACAGGUGCUGCA
RNAcentral lists this ribosomal RNA (554 nucleotides) under uncultured beta proteobacterium. RNAcentral describes it as "bacterial SSU rRNA". It matches the Rfam family "Bacterial small subunit ribosomal RNA", at positions 493 to 1045 of the family's 1533-position model. Lineage: Bacteria; Pseudomonadati; Pseudomonadota; Betaproteobacteria. The record is from RNAcentral.